UUGAAUCACUGGCCUUCAUGGUCACUGCUGCUGACUGCCCCCGAUGCCUGACUGGGGUGCCUGGCUGCCCGUGGUGCCCGGCUGACCACAGUGCCACGAUCUGCAGGUGAUCCAUGAUGAUGGGUACCUAUGGCCAAGCCACCAGGUGGGGAGACCUUCUGGGCAUCGUGACCAGCCUGUCCUCGUCUGUGGGGGAGCGUUGCUCUUGGCAGUGAGGAAGAAAGUGCUGGGCUCAUGUGACAUUGUGAUUCUUGGGCUAUAAUUUCUAAGGGUUCAAUGGCAGAAAUAAGAAUGACCCAAGACCAACAGGUGACCCAGACACAGCUGGGAAAUGCCUGGACAGCCGUGCUGCUCUCACCAGCAGGGGCAGGGCACACCCCUGGGUGGGGAGGUCAGUAUGGGAGCGUCCCCCAGUGCGGUGAGGGGAGUGUGGCACCACGCUCCCCACCGUGGCUCCAGGCACAUCCUGGACUUUCAGCUGAAGGAGUUGGAGAAAAAGGCAAAAGCAGGAAGGUCAGGGUGUCCUCCUCCCCGAGACCCCUUCUCUCCUGACACAAGUCAUACGACCUUCACGUAAGAGGUGCCCUUCCUAUGCCCAGAGGACAGGGGCAUCCUUCCAUCUGAACAUGGAGGGACUCCAAGAAAAGUCCCAUCAAACAGCCCUUGCCAAGCCUCCCCCAGCUGACCACACUCUGACAUACACCUGACCUGGCAUUUCCCAAACCAAAAAAAAUGCUCAGGUCUCCCUGUUUUUCCGUGUCUUCAUUUCCUUUUGAAGGCUUCUGUUUCACACGAAUGUACCUUAAAUAAAUCUGUUCUCUUUUCUCCUGUGCAUCUGCCCUUGUCAGUUUGUUUUUCAGUCCCAGCCAAGAACCCUAAGAGAGUCGAAGAAACCUUUUUCUUCCCCUACAAGAGCUGGAGUAGCCACUAAAAGAAGACACCGUGUAGGCCAGCACCCCCAAAACCUUACGUCCCAGGAUCUGGUGAAAUAUAUCCUCUCCCCAGGAGACGAGUCACAGGGCCUGUGAACCAGACCCUGGGCACAGGGUCCAGCUCCUCCCACCAUGAGGUCACAGACCCGCCUCCCGCCGUGAGGUCACAGACCCGGCCCUUCCACCGUGUCCUGGAGACCAGGGGAAGCAGUGGGGCCUUCAGGAGAAGGUUCCCCCCUUCAGCUGGAGGGAACAUGGCAGCAGGCCUGGCGGUGACCUUCCCUGUCCUGCUGCUGUCCUGCUGGCGAGAAGCUGACCUCCAGCCACUCAGCGGGACCCCAGGUCCAGCUACUGAAGUGCCAUCAAAUUCAAGAAAUCUGGAUAAUGACAUAGCUACAGUAUUUG
Long non-coding RNA from Manis pentadactyla (Chinese pangolin), 1337 nucleotides. RefSeq lists it as uncharacterized. The transcript is spliced from 3 exons. NCBI's taxonomy places the organism in Eukaryota, Metazoa, Chordata, Mammalia, Pholidota, Manidae. The record is from RefSeq and is a predicted model, not a curated record.